GCUAGUUUGCCUUCCUCUCUCUCUCUCUCUCUCUCUCUCUCUCUCUCUCUCUCUAUAUAUAUAUAUAUAUAUAUAUAUAUAUAUAUAUAUAUAUAUAUAUAAGAGAGAGAGAGAGAGAGAUGAUGGCUGUCUUAUAGG
This 138-nucleotide microRNA precursor is filed under the name Marmota monax (woodchuck). The record is from RNAcentral. Lineage: Eukaryota; Metazoa; Chordata; Mammalia; Rodentia; Sciuridae.